Molecule: transfer RNA, 68 nt
Filed under: Pleurobranchaea sp. TY-2016
Lineage: Eukaryota; Metazoa; Mollusca; Gastropoda; Pleurobranchida; Pleurobranchidae
Description: tRNA-Ser
Source: RNAcentral
UUAAAAUUUCUAAUUUUUGUUAUUAAAAAGGUUUUGAAAACCUUUAUAGGGGAUACCCCCAACUUUAC